UAAAGGUAUCAAAUCAACAAAAGCAAAUGAGCUCCUUAAAGCAAAAAUAAAUUAAGGCUUCAGCAAAAAUGAAUGACCGAGUGUGGCCGCUGCACCUGCAAAGCUAAAUCACGGUUGUUGCAGCACUGCACCUAAUUCAUUCAUUGUUUGAAACUAUUAAAAUAAAAAGAAAGAUGCUCAUACAAAUAUAAAGGAAAAUAAACUGACAGCAGCGCAUAAAUUUCACUCUCCCAUUCAUCCAAAAUCCAUCACCUU
This 255-nucleotide long non-coding RNA is filed under the name Vigna radiata. Its description in RNAcentral is "long non-coding RNA (VRAD_LNC015606)". Lineage: Eukaryota; Viridiplantae; Streptophyta; Magnoliopsida; Fabales; Fabaceae. The record is from RNAcentral.